Molecule: long non-coding RNA, 1413 nt
Organism: Populus trichocarpa (black cottonwood)
Lineage: Eukaryota; Viridiplantae; Streptophyta; Magnoliopsida; Malpighiales; Salicaceae
Exons: 3
Source: RefSeq, a predicted model, not a curated record
AGGCCACGUUGAACAGUCCCCUGUUUCUUUAAGGCGUUCGUGCCUCACGAUCGUGAGGCACGAACACAUGAACGUCAACAGAGGCCAUCCUCUGGCUUUAUAAAAGCCAGAAAAGGUCACGAACAGAGGGAGGAAAAACAAAAGAAAGGAAGGGACCGAGAAAGAAUAGAGAGAUUCAAGAGAACAGAGAGGAGAGAAGACGACGAUCGGGAGGAGAGACAGAGAAAAAGGGAGAAGACCGAGAGAAAAACAGGGGGAAAAAAACGGAUAACACAGGAGGAACGAAACAGAAGUGGAGAGGAAAUUUUGGCCAGACACUACACCUUCAUCAUCAUCUUCUUCCAGACCAGUGCUAGCCGCGACUCCGGUUGCACCAACUUCCCCCCUCCACCCGAACAGACAGACGCAAAGGAAAACAGGGGAGGAGACGACGAGCAGGAGGAAGAGAGGGAGAAACAGAACAACAGAAAAAAAAAAGAGCAAGGAGCAGGAAGGAAGCUUGAAGACAGGAGCUUCGCCCAGCGUCUGCCGAGUCGCGCGAAGUCUCUGCAAAACCAGGGGAGCUCCCGAUUCAGCAGGGGAGUUGAUAAUCUGCAACAAAUCCGAUCGUGGGCCACGUCUCUCGCCCACGAUCUCGUCGGAGAAGAUAACAGUCCUGUAAAGGCAGGACUGGUUAGAGGCAAGCAGCUGGGUCUCUAUAAAAGGGACCGAAAAAUCAACCGAAAAAAAAAAAAAAAAAAACCAGACGGGAAAACUCAGAGCAAAAACAGAGGCAAAAACCCAGAGCAAAGAAAUAAUACACAGAGGAGAACUGAGAAAAAAAGGCAAACGAAACAGAAACAGGGGAAGAAAAACUAGAGAAAAAGCCAACGUACCCCAGCUUCGCCUUCGUCUUCAGAGCACAAAUUCACAGAAACCAAAAAACAAAAGAGCAAGAACAGAGAGACUAUAUAGAAGGCCACAGGAGAAUGAAAUAAACACAGAACAGGGACAGGCAGGAAGAAACCAAUCAGAGAAAAGCAAGAACAAAGGAGAAGGGAAGAGAAAGGAGCUUAGCCGACGAAUCUUUCAUCACGUUUUCAUCUUCAUAGCUACCAGGAUUUUUCAUGUGUUAAUAUCAGAAACUCACAUUGUUCCAGCAACUCUGGUGUCGAUGUGGGUGUUGUCCUCGUCAUCAAGCUUGGCCAUUCCAAAAUCAGAUAUCUUGGCGUUCAUGUCCUUGUCAAGAAGGAUAUUGGUACCUUUUAUGUCUCUAUGAACAAUUUUGAGUGUCGACUCCUCAUGCAGGAAAACCAGACCUUUCGCUAUACUUACACAUAUCCUCUGCCUUGUACGCCAGUCUAGCUUCGUUGCCUUGAUUUCCUUUGUCCCUGUAAUCAUCAUGCAUAAAUCAACCCAUCAAUUUCUUCAACA